RNAcentral lists this ribosomal RNA (252 nucleotides) under uncultured bacterium. RNAcentral describes it as "partial 16S ribosomal RNA". It matches the Rfam family "Bacterial small subunit ribosomal RNA", at positions 524 to 776 of the family's 1533-position model. The record is from RNAcentral.
UACGUAGGGGGCUAGCGUUGUCCGGAAUUACUGGGCGUAAAGGGUUCGCAGGCGGAAAUGCAAGUCAGAUGUAAAAGGCAGUAGCUUAACUACUGUAAGCAUUUGAAACUGCAUAUCUUGAGAAGAGUAGAGGUUAGUGGAAUUUUUAGUGUAGCGGUGAAAUGCGUAGAGAUGAAAAAGAAUACCGGUGGCGAAGGCGACCUACUGGGAUCAGUCUGACGGUGAUGAGCGAAAGCGUGGGUAGCAAACAGG